Anguilla anguilla (European eel) is the source of this 558-nucleotide long non-coding RNA. RefSeq lists it as uncharacterized. The record is from RefSeq and is a predicted model, not a curated record. The transcript is spliced from 2 exons. NCBI's taxonomy places the organism in Eukaryota, Metazoa, Chordata, Actinopteri, Anguilliformes, Anguillidae.
UGUGACCCGCGUAGGGAAAAUAAACAAUUGCGCUCUGGAUACUGUAUCAUUAUCACAACAAAGAGGAGACGUGAAAUCCGAGGACGGGCACAUCUGGAGCGUGUUAAUCGCCCUCGAAUGACGGAUGCAUUUUAUUUUACCUCACGACAGACGGGCCGCCAGCGCUGCCCGAUUAUUAUUUGUGUCAGCCGACCCGGCUUUUUGGAAGCCUGCAUCCGGUACCUGUGAGUUCCUGUCGGGGGGCCUCCGCGGAGGGGAGGCGGUGCAACGGUGGCGGCCUGCCUUCCCUCAUCCCGCCGUGACGGACGGCUUGCUCCCGCUCGCCCGGCUGGUAAGCUGGCUGUAAUUUACGCGAUCCUCUGCAAUUUCCGGGUGCUCUCUGAAGUGGUACGGUGGGGGCUGACCCUUCCCUGUUUGUCUUCAUUUGCCAUUGUGCGUUGCCCUAAAGGAAGCAAUUACAUGGGAAGUGGAGAAAUGGAAGAAAAAAAAAAAAAAAAAUUCAACCCGGAGCACAUGGACCACCAUAAGCCACCCUUGACCUGACCUGGUUGACAUUAA